CGAAAGUUAGAGGUUCGAAGGCGAUCAGAUACCGCCCUAGUUCUAACCAUAAACGAUGCCAACCAGCGAUCCGCCUGAGUUCCUCAAAUGACUCGGCGGGCAGCUUCCGGGAAACCAAAGUGUUUGGGUUCCGGGGGAAGUAUGGUUGCAAAGCUGAAACUUAAAGGAAUUGACGGAAGGGCACCACCAGGAGUGGAGCCUGCGGCUUAAUUUGACUCAACACGGGAAAACUUACCCGGCCCGGACACUGGAAGGAUUGACAGAUUAAGAGCUCUUUCUUGAUUCAGUGGGUGGUGGUGCAUGGCCGUUCUUAGUUGGUGGAGCGAUUUGUCUGGUUAAUUCCGAUAACGAACGAGACUCUAGCCUACUAAAUAGGCGUUCCGAUCCUUUACGUCGGACGUUCUUCUUAGAGGGACAAGCGGCUUUUAGCCGCACGAGACAGAGCAAUAACAGGUCUGUGAUGCCCUUAGAUGUCCGGGGCCGCACGCGCGCUACACUGAAGGAAUCAGCGUGUGCUUUCCCUGUCUGGUAGGACUGGGUAACCCGUUAAACCUCCUUCGUGAUAGGGAUAGGGGCUUGUAAUUGUUCCCCUUGAACGAGGAAUUCCCAGUAAGCACGAGUCAUAAGCUCGUGUUGAUUACGUCCCUGCCCUUUGUACACACCGCCCGUCGCUACUACCGAUUGAAUGAUUUAGUGAGGUCUUCGGACUGGCGCUCGUAGCGACCUUUGGCCGCGCCGACGUGCCGGAAAGAUGACCAAACUUGAUCAUU
Molecule: ribosomal RNA, 770 nt
Filed under: Harpactocrates sp. LBB-2011
Lineage: Eukaryota; Metazoa; Arthropoda; Arachnida; Araneae; Dysderidae
Description: SSU rRNA
Rfam family: Eukaryotic small subunit ribosomal RNA
Source: RNAcentral